RNAcentral lists this long non-coding RNA (457 nucleotides) under Homo sapiens (human). Its description in RNAcentral is "non-protein coding lnc-ATP1B1-2:2". The record is from RNAcentral. Lineage: Eukaryota; Metazoa; Chordata; Mammalia; Primates; Hominidae.
GCCAAGUCCAAGAACCACACCACACACAACCAGUCCCGAAAAUGGCACAGAAUGGCAUCAAGAAACCCCGAUUGCAAAGAUAUGAAUCUCUUAAGGGGGUGGACCCCAAGUUCCUGAGGAACAUGGGCUUUGCCAAGAAGUGCAACAAGAAGGGCCUAAAGAAGAUGCAGGCCAACAAUGCCAAGGCCAUGAGUGCACGUACUGAGGCUAUCAAGGUCCUCAUAAAGCCAAAGGAGGUUAAGCCCAGAUGCCAAAGGGUGUCAGCCUCAAGCUCAAUCAAUUUGCCUACAUUACCCACCCCAAGCUUGGGAAGUGUGCUUGUGCCCGCAUUGCCAAGGGUCUCAGGUUGUGUGGGCCAAAGGCCAAAGCCAAGGAUCAAACCAAGGCCCAGGCUGCAGCUCCAGCUUCAGUUUCAGCUCAGGCUCCCAAAGAUGCCCAGGCCCCUACAAAGACUUCA